RNAcentral lists this transfer RNA (65 nucleotides) under Crangon hakodatei. Its description in RNAcentral is "tRNA-Leu". Lineage: Eukaryota; Metazoa; Arthropoda; Malacostraca; Decapoda; Crangonidae. The record is from RNAcentral.
AUCAUCUUGGCAGAGGUAUGCCUUAGAUUUAGGAUCUAAUUACACGAUUUAUAUCGUAGAUGAUA